This is a non-coding RNA of Pimephales promelas (fathead minnow), 1229 nucleotides long. The record is from RefSeq and is a predicted model, not a curated record. NCBI's taxonomy places the organism in Eukaryota, Metazoa, Chordata, Actinopteri, Cypriniformes, Leuciscidae.
AUAUAAGCAUAUUUUAAUAUAUUUUACUGAUCAAGACAACAAUGGUAGCGCAAAGUAUUUACAUUACUUUAGCCUAAGGCUAAAAAUCCUGUAUAAGGGUGGUCUAAUUCAGGGGUUUUCAAUCUUUUAGAUGCAGUAGAACCCCAAAUACAAUCAUCCUCAGGAGCAGUGUAUAUUUUCAUUUAUGAAGACUCAAUUUAUACUCACUUAUAUAGGUAUAUUAUGCAAUAUACCAGUAUAAAAUAUUAUUUGGAACAUAUUCGAGGUUUUUAGUGCUCUUUUUAAAACACCCGCCACCCAGGCCAGAGACACCGGUUUGAAUCCCGCUUUGAGCUGAUCGAGUAGAACCGGAGGGGUAACAUUGGUGCAGUGACCCAGAUGGGAAUUUAGAGAGGUGAGUGAAACUGAUGCCAGAUAGCAAGAUCUGUGUGAAUAAACCUUACUCCCCUGGCCUCAAGAGGUGCGCUAGAGACAGACGCUAGAGACUGUGGUCUUUAGUGUCCUUGUUUGCUCGCCCACCUCCCAUGCCAGAGAUCACAGUUCGAAUCCUGCUUGGAGCGGGUUGAGUAGAACAUGAGGGGUUACACUAAUACAUAUGCACAUUCUAAAGUAAACAAACUAUCAAAAAGCCAACUAGCUUUUUUUAACUGAAGCAGGACUACUUUCCAUUACUACAACUGCCUUAUUAUGUUAUCCCGUCAAAGAACAUUCCUCAAAGUUUACCUUUCAGAUGAUCGUUCACUUGGCAGUUCAAGAGCCAUGUCCCUAUUGUCGUAGGCACCAUCUCUGCGGUGGCAAAAGUAGCAGAAAACAGACUCAGGACAUCCACGCGGUGCCCGCGGUCUAGGAGUGUGUGUCCGUGGAAAUAAGCAGAGUGAACGUCGAUCUCGUUGCCCAUGCCAAAGAGAUGUAAAGCAACUCUGCUGUUUUGGCAAAACUCAAUGCCUGGAUCCACACCAUCUGGAUCAGAGCAGAAGGUCUGGAUGUUCUCUUUCAGGUACCAGCUGAUGUUCUCAUCCACUACACUAAACAUAAGGAUUAGAUCCUGUUCUACAUCAGCACGUUGCACUUGAUGGUGGUCUGAAGUGGACACAGCAUGCAGGGUUCCUGAGGCCGGCAUUUUGAUUUGGGAAUCAAAGGAUAAGGUGAGAAGGGCUCCAAUAAGCCCGGAGGAAAUGUCUUGUGAGGCGCUGACAUGGGAGUGAUAGGCCCACGUCAGGCAGUUGGCA